AGAGUUUGAUCAUGGCUCAGAUUGAACGCUGGCGGCAGGCCUAACACAUGCAAGUCGAGCGGAAACGAGUUAACUGAACCUUCGGGGGACGAUAACGGCGUCGAGCGGCGGACGGGUGAGUAAUGCCUAGGAAAUUGCCCUGAUGUGGGGGAUAACCAUUGGAAACGAUGGCUAAUACCGCAUGAUGCCUACGGGCCAAAGAGGGGGACCUUCGGGCCUCUCGCGUCAGGAUAUGCCUAGGUGGGAUUAGCUAGUUGGUGAGGUAAGGGCUCACCAAGGCGACGAUCCCUAGCUGGUCUGAGAGGAUGAUCAGCCACACUGGAACUGAGACACGGUCCAGACUCCUACGGGAGGCAGCAGUGGGGAAUAUUGCACAAUGGGCGCAAGCCUGAUGCAGCCAUGCCGCGUGUGUGAAGAAGGCCUUCGGGUUGUAAAGCACUUUCAGUCGUCAGGAAGGUAGUGUAGUUAAUAGCUGCAUUAUUUGACGUUAGCGACAGAAGAAGCACCGGCCAACUCCGUGCCAGCAGCCGCGGUAAUACGGAGGGUGCGAGCGUUAAUCGGAAUUACUGGGCGUAAAGCGCAUGCAGGUGGUUUGUUAAGUCAGAUGUGAAAGCCCGGGGCUCAACCUCGGAAUAGCAUUUGAAACUGGCAGACUAGAGUACUGUAGAGGGGGGUAGAAUUUCAGGUGUAGCGGUGAAAUGCGUAGAGAUCUCAAGGAAUACCGGUGGCGAAGGCGGCCCCCUGGACAGAUACUGACACUCAGAUGCGAAAGCGUGGGGAGCAAACAGGAUUAGAUACCCUGGUAGUCCACGCCGUAAACGAUGUCUACUUGGAGGUUGUGGCCUUGAGCCGUGGCUUUCGGAGCUAACGCGUUAAGUAGACCGCCUGGGGAGUACGGUCGCAAGAUUAAAACUCAAAUGAAUUGACGGGGGCCCGCACAAGCGGUGGAGCAUGUGGUUUAAUUCGAUGCAACGCGAAGAACCUUACCUACUCUUGACAUCCAGAGAACUUUCCAGAGAUGGAUUGGUGCCUUCGGGAACUCUGAGACAGGUGCUGCAUGGCUGUCGUCAGCUCCUGUUGUGAAAUGUUGGGUUAAGUCCCGCAACGAGCGCAACCCUUAUCCUUGUUUGCCAGCGAGUAAUGUCGGGAACUCCAGGGAGACUGCCGGUGAUAAACCGGAGGAAGGUGGGGACGACGUCAAGUCAUCAUGGCCCUUACGAGUAGGGCUACACACGUGCUACAAUGGCGCAUACAGAGGGCGGCCAACUUGCGAAAGUGAGCGAAUCCCAAAAAGUGCGUCGUAGUCCGGAUUGGAGUCUGCAACUCGACUCCAUGAAGUCGGAAUCGCUAGUAAUCGUGGAUCAGAAUGCCACGGUGAAUACGUUCCCGGGCCUUGUACACACCGCCCGUCACACCAUGGGAGUGGGCUGCAAAACAAGUAGGUAGUUUAAC
Molecule: ribosomal RNA, 1452 nt
Filed under: Vibrio natriegens
Lineage: Bacteria; Pseudomonadati; Pseudomonadota; Gammaproteobacteria; Vibrionales; Vibrionaceae
Description: bacterial SSU rRNA
Rfam family: Bacterial small subunit ribosomal RNA
Source: RNAcentral